CCUGUUUGUAAGUGGGGGUUGUCCUCCUUGCUCAUAAAAAAGAAGAAGAGCUUUUCACGAAUAAAAAGGUCCAGGAAAGCGAAGGAAGAAAGUAAUACAUGGGCCCAACCCAACUGCCCCAAUCCUAGUAGUAGUGAAGUGAGAAGGCUCAUCUCCAACAAUUGCGUAUGAGAGAGAGAGAGAGUGUGUGUGGUGAAUGGAAACGUCUUCUUCCGCCUGCUAACUCUAUAACCGCCUACUAGUCUCAUCACAUCAGUCUAGGAUCUCCAUCAUCUCCUUCAUCUCCUCUCCUCCAACCAAUUUGUUUAAUUUCAGUUACAAUUACAUUACAUACCAGUCAGUCAGUCAAUAGACAAAGCAAAGACAUCUGCUCUGCUCGUAUUUUUACUUGGAAAGACAACAACGAAGAAGAAAAGAGAUCAGAUAUCAGAAGAGAUGGGUGCGACUAAGGCAGCUGUUGGAGACACUGUGCUCACCUUCUUGUGGAUUUCCUGCGCAUCGACGCUUGGACUAGCCACCAGCUUCAUCGCAAAUGCCGUUGGGGUUCAGGACCUUUCAUGGCCGCCUCUCUUCAUCACCACCGCCCUUGUCUUCGUCCUUGUAUUUGUCUUCA
This is a non-coding RNA of Prunus avium (sweet cherry), 613 nucleotides long. The record is from RefSeq and is a predicted model, not a curated record. NCBI's taxonomy places the organism in Eukaryota, Viridiplantae, Streptophyta, Magnoliopsida, Rosales, Rosaceae.